AACGAACGCUGGCGGCAUGCCUAACACAUGCAAGUCGAACGAGACCUUCGGGUCUAGUGGCGCACGGGUGCGUAACGCGUGGGAACCUGCCUUUAGGUUCGGAAUAACUCAGAGAAAUUUGAGCUAAUACCGGAUAAUGUCUUCGGACCAAAGAUUUAUCGCCUUUAGAUGGGCCCGCGUUGGAUUAGCUAGUUGGUGGGGUAAAGGCCUACCAAGGCGACGAUCCAUAGCUGGUCUGAGAGGAUGAUCAGCCACACUGGGACUGAGACACGGCCCAGACUCCUACGGGAGGCAGCAGUGGGGAAUAUUGGACAAUGGGCGAAAGCCUGAUCCAGCAAUGCCGCGUGAGUGAUGAAGGCCUUAGGGUUGUAAAGCUCUUUUACCCGAGAUGAUAAUGACAGUAUCGGGAGAAUAAGCUCCGGCUAACUCCGUGCCAGCAGCCGCCGUAAUAC
RNAcentral lists this ribosomal RNA (452 nucleotides) under uncultured bacterium. RNAcentral's name for it is "bacterial SSU rRNA". It matches the Rfam family "Bacterial small subunit ribosomal RNA", at positions 29 to 526 of the family's 1533-position model. The record is from RNAcentral.